RNAcentral lists this transfer RNA (69 nucleotides) under Rhinella marina (marine toad). RNAcentral describes it as "tRNA-His". It matches the Rfam family "tRNA". From Rfam's summary of the family: Transfer RNA (tRNA) molecules are approximately 80 nucleotides in length. Their secondary structure includes four short double-helical elements and three loops (D, anti-codon, and T loops). Further hydrogen bonds mediate the characteristic L-shaped molecular structure. tRNAs have two regions of fundamental functional importance: the anti-codon, which is responsible for specific mRNA codon recognition, and the 3' end, to which the tRNAs corresponding amino acid is attached (by aminoacyl-tRNA synthetases). tRNAs cope with the degeneracy of the genetic code in two manners: having more than one tRNA (with a specific anti-codon) for a particular amino acid; and 'wobble' base-pairing, i.e. permitting non-standard base-pairing at the 3rd anti-codon position. The record is from RNAcentral. Lineage: Eukaryota; Metazoa; Chordata; Amphibia; Anura; Bufonidae.
GUGAAUAUAGUUUAUUAAAAAUACUAGCUUGUGAUUCUAGAGAAGGGGACUAAUAACCCCCUAUUCACC